This 2906-nucleotide long non-coding RNA is filed under the name Amborella trichopoda. RNAcentral's name for it is "long non-coding RNA (ATRI_LNC003622)". Lineage: Eukaryota; Viridiplantae; Streptophyta; Magnoliopsida; Amborellales; Amborellaceae. The record is from RNAcentral.
CUUAAUGGUUCUUUCUUCUCUGGUAUAAUACUUACUGCUCUUGCUUCUUUCAUGCAAAUAUGGAGUGAAUUUUCAGGAGCUUUACUUGUGGUUUGUAAUUUUAUCAAGUAACUUUUUCUUGACACACACACACUCUUGCUUCUUUCAUGCAAAUAUAGAGUGAAUUUUUUGGAGCUUUACUUGUGGUUUGUAAUUUUAUUGACUUUUUUUUAACAUACGCACACCCAACACCACACACACACACUCACACUCACACUCACACUCACACUCACACUCACACACACACACACACACUCACUUAUACACUCACACUCACACUCACACUCACACACUGACACUCACACUCACAUUCACACUCCCAUUCAUACACUCACUCACACUCGCACUCACACUUACACUCACACUCACUCACACACUUACACUCACAUUCACACUCGUUGAUAUAUACUACACAUGUUUGCGUGUUGUAUAUGGACUGAUGUCUAUAUAUAUACGAUAUGUAUAUAUUGAUAUAUUUAUGGGUGUAUAUAUACAGUUUCUUGCUAUCAAUUAUAUACAAUAAUCAUUGUAUACCCCUAUGCGUUGAUAAGUAUAUAUAUACUGUCUAUGAUACAUUCUAUAUACAUUGAUAUUUUUAACCACAUUGACAUUUAUUAGCGGUUCAUAUAUUUACAGUGUGUAUAUAUACGAUAUGUAUAUACUGAUAUGUUUAUGCGUGUAUGUAUAAACUUGUUGUCUGUUAUAUAUACACUGAUAGGCGUACGCACUUACACCCUUACGCAUUGAUAGUGCAUAUAUACAUUUUUAUAUACACUGAUAUAUAUGACCAUAUUGACACUUUUUAUCAGUUUAUACAUUUUUAUAUACACUGAUAUAUAUGACCAUAUUGACACUUUUUAUCAGUUUAUACAAUUAUUAGCGCAUAUGCACAUUGAUAUGUAUAUGAAUGCACAGGUGGCUAUUGCAGCUCAUAAGGUAAAUGAACAUAUCUCUAGUAAAGUGUUGCUCUUGUUUCUUUCAUGCAAAUAUGGAGCGAAUUUUUCUUUUAGAGUGAAUUUUCUGGAGAUUUACUUGUGGUUUGCAUCUUUAUUAAGUAACUUUUUCUUAACACACACUCUUUCUUCUUUCAUGCAAAUAGGGCGUGAAUUUUCUUGAGCUUUAUUUGUGGUUUGCAAUUUUAUUAAGUAACUUUUUCGUAACACACACACACACACACUCACACUCACAUUCACACACACUCACAGACUCACACACACACACACAUACACAUUGACACACUGACACACGCACACAUUGACACACUCACACCCACACACACUCUCAAACUAACAUUCACAUUGAUAUGUAUAUGAAUGCAUAGGUGGCUGUUGCAGCCAAGAAGGUAAAUGUACAGAUCCCCCCCCUCCCCUCCCCUCCUUUUUGAUUAUUUUAGAGAUUAUUUGUUUAGAUAUCACCUCUAAUCUGACAAGCCUACGCGAAUUUCCAUAUUACUUUGUAUGAUUUAGGCAUAAAAAUGGGUUUUUUCCCUUGAUGAAUCGAGUAUGCUAAAUACCCAAUUGUGAUAGUCCAUCUAAAUUUUUUAUCUUAUUUGUACUUGUUUUUAUUAUUAUUGAUGAGCUUCAUCUUCAUCGAGUUUGCUUGUAAAUCAACAAGCAUGGAAGCAACUUAUCAUCGAGGCGGAGCUCUUUACGUUCUUCGAUAUUUGCGAUCUUGGUCUUGCAAGCUUGAUUUGCUUAAUGGUUCUUUCUUCUUUAGUAUUGUACUGCACUUCCUUCUUUUAUGCAAAUAUGGAGUGAAUAAAAUUACAAACCACAAGUAAAGCUUCAAAAAAUGAACUUUUUCUUGACACACACACACUCUUGUGUCUUUCUUGAGUGAAUUUUUUAGAGCUUUACUUGUGGUUUGCAAUUUUAUUAACUUUUUCUUAACUGUACAGUACAUUAGUUAUCAACUACAUAUAUAAUUAUUAGUGUGUAAAAAAUACAUUUUUAUGUGUGUAUGUAUCUGUGUGAUGUCAGUAUAUAUACGAUGUGUAUAUACGGAUAUAUGUGUAUGUGUAAAGUACAUAACUGUAUAUAUACAAUGCACUAAUAUAUAUAUUUCUAUAUACCUUGAUGUAUAUUAUCAUUUUUACAUUUAUUAUCAGUUUAUAUAGUUAUUGACGUAUAUGUAUACUGAUUUAUAUAUUACAUACACAUACACUCACACUCACACUCACACUCGUACACACACUCACACUCACACUCACACUCACACACUUAUACUCACCCUCACACUCACACUCACACUCACACUCACACUCACACACACACACUGACAUACAUUGACCUUGAAACUGACACUGACACUGACACUCGCACAAACACACACGCACUCUCACUCACUCCUAUUCAAAGUCACACUCACACUUACUCAUCGAUAUAUAUACUACACAUAUGUGUUGUGUUUGGUAUGAUGUUUGUAUAUAUACGAUAUGUAUAUACUGAUAUAUUUAUGCGUGUAUAUAUAUAGUUGCUUGCUAUUAGUUUUGUACAUUGAUAAAUGCCUAUAUAUUUUGUAUGUUUACACUAAUACAUGCAGUUUAGAUGCACUAAUAUAUAUAUAACCAUAUAAACACUUAUUAGCUGGUUAUAUAUAUAUAUACAAUGUGUAUGUACAUACGAUAUGUAUAUACUGAUAUGUUUAUGCAUGUAUGUAUAAACUUGCUAUCACUGAUAUAUAGACUGCUAUGCGUACGUACAUGCACAUAUUCAUAUUGAUAGUGCAUACAUACAUUUCUAUAUACACUGAUAUAUAUGACCAUAUAAACACUUAUUAUCAAUUUAUAAUGUUAUUAGCGUAUAUGUUUAUAUAAAUGCAUACUCAUAAGCAUAUGUAUAAAAGGUUUUUUUAUAUACUAAUAUAUA